This 531-nucleotide ribosomal RNA is filed under the name Clostridioides difficile. Its description in RNAcentral is "partial 23S ribosomal RNA". It matches the Rfam family "Bacterial large subunit ribosomal RNA", at positions 683 to 1214 of the family's 2925-position model. Lineage: Bacteria; Bacillati; Bacillota; Clostridia; Peptostreptococcales; Peptostreptococcaceae. The record is from RNAcentral.
UUUAACUGAGCGUUCAGUUACUUGACGUAGACCCGAAACCGGGCGACCUACCCAUGAGCAGGAUGAAGCGAAAGUAAAAUUUCGUGGAGGUCCGAACCCACGAGCGUUGAAAAGCUCGGGGAUGACUUGUGGGUAGCGGUGAAAUUCCAAUCGAGCCCGGAGAUAGCUGGUUCUCCCCGAAAUAGCUUUAGGGCUAGCCUCAAGGUGAGAGAUACGGAGGUAGAGCACUGAAUGUCCUAGGGGGUAUUGCACCUACCGAAGACUAUCAAACUCCGAAUGCCGUCAUCUUAUACUUGGGAGUCAGACUGUGGGUGAUAAGAUUCAUAGUCGAAAGGGCAACAGCCCAGAUCGUCAGCUAAGGUCCCUAAAUGUAAGUUAAGUGGUAAAGGAUGUGGGAUUGCACAGACAACCAGGAUGUUGGCUUAGAAGCAGCCACUCAUUCAAAGAGUGCGUAAUAGCUCACUGGUCGAGUGAUCCUGCGCCGAAGAUUUCCGGGGCUAAAACUUACUACCGAAGCUACGGCAUCAGUAA